RNAcentral lists this ribosomal RNA (2816 nucleotides) under Klebsiella pneumoniae. RNAcentral's name for it is "partial 23S ribosomal RNA". It matches the Rfam family "Bacterial large subunit ribosomal RNA". The record is from RNAcentral. Lineage: Bacteria; Pseudomonadati; Pseudomonadota; Gammaproteobacteria; Enterobacterales; Enterobacteriaceae.
GGUUAAGCGACUAAGCGUACACGGUGGAUGCCCUGGCAGUCAGAGGCGAUGAAGGACGUGCUAAUCUGCGAAAAGCGUCGGUAAGGUGAUAUGAACCGUUAUAGCCGGCGAUGUCCGAAUGGGGAAACCCAGUGCAAUUCGUUGCACUAUCGUUAACUGAAUACAUAGGUUAACGAGGCGAACCGGGGGAACUGAAACAUCUAAGUACCCCGAGGAAAAGAAAUCAACCGAGAUUCCCCCAGUAGCGGCGAGCGAACGGGGAGCAGCCCAGAGUCUGAAUCAGCUUGUGUGUUAGUGGAACGGUCUGGAAAGUCCGACGGUACAGGGUGAUAGUCCCGUACACCAAAAUGCACAGGCUGUGAACUCGAAGAGUAGGGCGGGACACGUGGUAUCCUGUCUGAAUAUGGGGGGACCAUCCUCCAAGGCUAAAUACUCCUGACUGACCGAUAGUGAACCAGUACCGUGAGGGAAAGGCGAAAAGAACCCCGGCGAGGGGAGUGAAAAAGAACCUGAAACCGUGUACGUACAAGCAGUGGGAGCACCUUCGGGUGUGACUGCGUACCUUUUGUAUAAUGGGUCAGCGACUUAUAUUCUGUAGCAAGGUUAACCGUAUAGGGGAGCCGCAGGGAAACCGAGUCUUAACUGGGCGUUAAGUUGCAGGGUAUAGACCCGAAACCCGGUGAUCUAGCCAUGGGCAGGUUGAAGGUUGGGUAACACUAACUGGAGGACCGAACCGACUAAUGUUGAAAAAUUAGCGGAUGACUUGUGGCUGGGGGUGAAAGGCCAAUCAAACCGGGAGAUAGCUGGUUCUCCCCGAAAGCUAUUUAGGUAGCGCCUCGUGAAUUCAUCUUCGGGGGUAGAGCACUGUUUCGGCUAGGGGGUCAUCCCGACUUACCAACCCGAUGCAAACUACGAAUACCGAAGAAUGUUAUCACGGGAGACACACGGCGGGUGCUAACGUCCGUCGUGAAGAGGGAAACAACCCAGACCGCCAGCUAAGGUCCCAAAGUCAUGGUUAAGUGGGAAACGAUGUGGGAAGGCACAGACAGCCAGGAUGUUGGCUUAGAAGCAGCCAUCAUUUAAAGAAAGCGUAAUAGCUCACUGGUCGAGUCGGCCUGCGCGGAAGAUGUAACGGGGCUAAACCAUGCACCGAAGCUGCGGCAGCGACACUAUGUGUUGUUGGGUAGGGGAGCGUUCUGUAAGCCUGCGAAGGUGACCUGUGAGGGUUGCUGGAGGUAUCAGAAGUGCGAAUGCUGACAUAAGUAACGAUAAAGCGGGUGAAAAGCCCGCUCGCCGGAAGACCAAGGGUUCCUGUCCAACGUUAAUCGGGGCAGGGUGAGUCGACCCCUAAGGCGAGGCCGAAAGGCGUAGUCGAUGGGAAACAGGUUAAUAUUCCUGUACUUGGUGUUACUGCGAAGGGGGGACGGAGAAGGCUAUGUUAGCCGGGCGACGGUUGUCCCGGUUUAAGCAUGUAGGCUGGUUAUCCAGGCAAAUCCGGAUAAUCAAGGCUGAGGUGUGAUGACGAGGCACUACGGUGCUGAAGUAACAAAUGCCCUGCUUCCAGGAAAAGCCUCUAAGCAUCAGGUAACAUCAAAUCGUACCCCAAACCGACACAGGUGGUCAGGUAGAGAAUACCAAGGCGCUUGAGAGAACUCGGGUGAAGGAACUAGGCAAAAUGGUGCCGUAACUUCGGGAGAAGGCACGCUGGUGUGUAGGUGAAGUCCCUGCGGAUGGAGCUGAGACCAGUCGAAGAUACCAGCUGGCUGCAACUGUUUAUUAAAAACACAGCACUGUGCAAACACGAAAGUGGACGUAUACGGUGUGACGCCUGCCCGGUGCCGGAAGGUUAAUUGAUGGGGUUAUCCGUAAGGAGAAGCUCUUGAUCGAAGCCCCGGUAAACGGCGGCCGUAACUAUAACGGUCCUAAGGUAGCGAAAUUCCUUGUCGGGUAAGUUCCGACCUGCACGAAUGGCGUAAUGAUGGCCAGGCUGUCUCCACCCGAGACUCAGUGAAAUUGAACUCGCUGUGAAGAUGCAGUGUACCCGCGGCAAGACGGAAAGACCCCGUGAACCUUUACUAUAGCUUGACACUGAACAUUGAGCCUUGAUGUGUAGGAUAGGUGGGAGGCUUUGAAGCGUGGACGCCAGUCUGCGUGGAGCCAACCUUGAAAUACCACCCUUUAAUGUUUGAUGUUCUAACGUUGGCCCCUGACCGGGGUUGCGGACAGUGUCUGGUGGGUAGUUUGACUGGGGCGGUCUCCUCCCAAAGCGUAACGGAGGAGCACGAAGGUUAGCUAAUCCUGGUCGGACAUCAGGAGGUUAGUGCAAUGGCAUAAGCUAGCUUGACUGCGAGCGUGACGGCGCGAGCAGGUGCGAAAGCAGGUCAUAGUGAUCCGGUGGUUCUGAAUGGAAGGGCCAUCGCUCAACGGAUAAAAGGUACUCCGGGGAUAACAGGCUGAUACCGCCCAAGAGUUCAUAUCGACGGCGGUGUUUGGCACCUCGAUGUCGGCUCAUCACAUCCUGGGGCUGAAGUAGGUCCCAAGGGUAUGGCUGUUCGCCAUUUAAAGUGGUACGCGAGCUGGGUUUAGAACGUCGUGAGACAGUUCGGUCCCUAUCUGCCGUGGGCGCUGGAGAAUUGAGGGGGGCUGCUCCUAGUACGAGAGGACCGGAGUGGACGCAUCACUGGUGUUCGGGUUGUCAUGCCAAUGGCACUGCCCGGUAGCUAAAUGCGGAAGAGAUAAGUGCUGAAAGCAUCUAAGCACGAAACUUGCCCCGAGAUGAGUUCUCCCUGAGACUUUAAGUCUCCUGAAGGAACGUU